UUUUUACAUCUUUUAAAUCUUCAAUGGAGUGAAGAAGUUAUAUCAAACUAAUAUAUUAUAGAUAUGUGAAAUUCUAUGUAGGCGAAGUCAGAAGAUUGUUUUUUUUUCCAUCACAAUUGUUUUUACACAGAAUAUAUAGGUUGGAGUUCUGCAGCAUGUCCAUAAUGAACAUGAGUGGGCAUUAUCCUAUGGAAGAGUUGUACCAUGAUCAUGUUUUCAAGGUGAUCUAGAGACUGAGGGAGACAUGAAAUGACUGGACACCGGAAGUUCUGUUCAUGCUGCUUUGACAAAAGUUAUUCUAGAGAAACGCUUCCUAGAUAAUGUCCCCUAUUUUCUACAUUUCAGGUAUAUAUUGCAAAAAUGCAUUACUCUUUCAAUACUUCCUAAAAGCACACACCUGUAAGAAUAAGAUGUGUUUGUGAAACACUGUACAAUGAACAAGGUCAAAAACGUUUGGUACCAAAACAAAAUUGAUUCCUUCCUAGUCAUUUUCAGAUACAGGUGACCUAUUGGUCUUUAUAUGUCGUCCGUUAACAAUUGAACAUUUUCAAUUUCUUCUUUUAAAAUAACUACUUUUCCAAUUGCUGUUGAAUUUGGUAUGAAGCAUCUUUGAAGAAGGGGGUAUGAAUUUUAAAUUUUAGGACUCUUGCAUCGAUGUGUUUUACGGGCGGGGCAAAAUUGUCAAUAAUUGAACAAUUUUCAAUAAUCUUCUAAAUAAGCACACAACUGUAAGAACAAGAUGUGUUUGUGAAACAUUGAACAAUGAACAAGGUCAAAAACGUUUGAUACCAAAACAAAAAAUUUUUCUUUGGAGUCAAACUCCAAGUUAAAGGAUCAUAGUAUGAAAUGAAAGGGUGUGUCAAACGGUAUACAAAAUAUGAGAAGAGGUUCUGACUUCAGGGUGGGGACAGACUUUGCAUAUAGUGGCUAUGAGUAAAACAUUUAAAUGAUAUAUUCUAUGGUGCUAUUAAUACUGAAUUGAUAUCAAGAAGUAGCAGAUAGCUCUUUACCAAAAUUUUACAUUACAUAAUUCCAGGGGUAGGGAUUUUGGUAUCACGAUGGGGUCAAAAUGGCUAUUAUUCUCCGGAAUAGGCCGCGUGAUGUUCCGAUUGGCUUCCCGCUGUUGUGACGUCACAACGAUUUGGCGCUUGAACCCGACCAUUUCAAAAAUAUGUGUGAUUUGGAGCUUUUGACAGUGUUAGUUUAACAUAUAUAUUUUAUAUAUAAAUCCUGAGUAUGGGCACUGUUGGAGACUUUUGUGUUUUCUUAUAUUUGUAUUUAGCUUAGGUAUACAGAAAAAGAAAAGUAUGAUUUUGUAUCCUUUAGGGCUAGUGAUAUUUUGAAGUUGUACUCUGUGACCAAUAAGGCCUGUUAGCCUCUCCCUAUCUAGUGUUUUCAUAUUCAGUUCAACUUCGGUAUCUUGAACAUCAAUAUCUUGAAUAUCAUGGAUAUAUCAAGUGAGUUGGAAGUCCCAACUAUCAUUUCUUUAUGCAUUUUAACGACAAUUUCUCGGUCUCAUUGAGUUUGAGAUAACCAGGUUUAACUGUAUCUAAUAUGAUGAUCUUUCUAAAUUCUAUCUAAAUUUUUCAACAGAAGUACAUCAAACUUGGAGAUUCUUAACGACCACAUUUUGAUGCAUGCAGCGAAUAGAAUGUCAUAUUCACCACCAGUCUACAGGGCAAGGAAUUUAUUAGCUGCAUUAGACUACACUCAUAGUGUAGAUUUACCUACAGCUACAAAGAUGGAAGUAUUAGAUAUCAAAGGACAUUUUUAAAGAAAUCAUGGAGGUGGACCACUGUGGAGAGAAAGCAAAACAAGAUGACCAUAUCGACGAACUUUUAGAAACAGUUAUGAAAAUGCGUUUGUAGUCUGAUAUAGAGGGAUCCAUCUCUAACACCAUUGCCGCAAAGAUUCCACCCCAGCAGAACUGGUUUCCCAGCAUAAAAAGUAGAUAUCAAAGAGCAAAUCUGGUAUUGUUCUGACGAAAUUUUACACUAAUUAUACAUACCUUAGUCUUUUAAUAAUGACACCUUUAAAAAUGUGUUUUGACUCGUGUUUCCAAGGUAACAAGACAUCCGAUUUCUUGUAAAGAAGUGAGCCUCAGAAAAUGUUGAAUCUUCAUACAUAAAAUUUGUACAUUUUUCAUUCAACUUAUUGUAACUAUUAUACUAUACUAUGUUGUGAGUAAAUUUUUUUAGAAUAAAAUCAAUUUGCUGGAAC
Molecule: long non-coding RNA, 2220 nt
Organism: Ostrea edulis (European flat oyster)
Lineage: Eukaryota; Metazoa; Mollusca; Bivalvia; Ostreida; Ostreidae
Exons: 2
Source: RefSeq, a predicted model, not a curated record